Helianthus annuus (common sunflower) is the source of this 293-nucleotide long non-coding RNA. RefSeq lists it as uncharacterized. NCBI's taxonomy places the organism in Eukaryota, Viridiplantae, Streptophyta, Magnoliopsida, Asterales, Asteraceae. The transcript is spliced from 2 exons. The record is from RefSeq and is a predicted model, not a curated record.
UCUACGGGCGCAAGCACGGAGGCUAAUGGGUCAAAAGAAAGCAUGGAACCUAUGCUUGAACUUGGACGCUCAAGGUAACACAAGUCAUGAGGAUCAUCAAGGAAUAGAGAUCGAGGAUCGAGUCACAUGAAGGAUUGUACGGGGUGUAUAAGAAUGUAAUUUGUUAUAUAUAUAAGUUACGUUUUAUUCUAUAAUUGAGUUAGUCUGAUGUGUUUAAUAUAGAGGAGUUAUUUUAAAAGUGAACUUUCAAGUAAGACAUAAGGUUUAUAAUGAAAGAAAUUUUAUGGUACGUA